UCGGGAAUUUUGGGCAAUGGGGGAAACCCUGACCCAGCAACGCCGCGUGAAGGAUGAAGUAUUUCGGUAUGUAAACUUCGAAAGAAUAGGAAGAAUAAAUGACGGUACUAUUUUAUAAGGUCCGGCUAACUACGUGCCAGCAGCCGCGGUAAUACGUAGGGACCAAGCGUUGUUCGGAAUUACUGGGCGUAAAGCGUGCGCAGGCGGCCGCGCAAGUCAGGUGUGAAAUCCCCGGGCUUAACCUGGGAAUUGCGCUUGAAACUAUGCGGCUUGAGUGUGGCAGAGGGGGGUGGAAUUCCACGUGUAGCAGUGAAAUGCGUAGAGAUGUGGAGGAACACCGAUGGCGAAGGCAGCCCCCUGGGCCAACACUGACGCUCAGGCACGAAAGCGUGGGGAGCAAACAGGAUUAGAUACCCCCGUAGUCCCUGAGCGGGCUGGCAAGGCGCAU
RNAcentral lists this ribosomal RNA (448 nucleotides) under uncultured bacterium. RNAcentral's name for it is "bacterial SSU rRNA". It matches the Rfam family "Bacterial small subunit ribosomal RNA", at positions 355 to 825 of the family's 1533-position model. The record is from RNAcentral.